This 515-nucleotide ribosomal RNA is filed under the name uncultured Hanseniaspora. RNAcentral describes it as "eukaryotic LSU rRNA". It matches the Rfam family "Eukaryotic large subunit ribosomal RNA", at positions 62 to 575 of the family's 3401-position model. Lineage: Eukaryota; Fungi; Ascomycota; Saccharomycetes; Saccharomycodales; Saccharomycodaceae. The record is from RNAcentral.
AAACCAACUGGGAUUACCUUAGUAACGGCGAGUGAAGCGGUAAAAGCUCAAAUUUGAAAUCUGGUACUUUCAGUGCCCGAGUUGUAAUUUGUAGAAUUUGUCUUUGAUUAGGUCCUUGUCUAUGUUCCUUGGAACAGGACGUCAUAGAGGGUGAGAAUCCCGUUUGGCGAGGAUACCUUUUCUCUGUAAGACUUUUUUCGAAGAGUCGAGUUGUUUGGGAAUGCAGCUCAAAGUGGGUGGUAAAUUCCAUCUAAAGCUAAAUAUUGGCGAGAGACCGAUAGCGAACAAGUACAGUGAUGGAAAGAUGAAAAGAACUUUGAAAAGAGAGUGAAAAAGUACGUGAAAUUGUUGAAAGGGAAGGGCAUUUGAUCAGACAUGGUGUUUUUUAAAUGUGCAAGUCUCUCGUGGACAUGUGCCUCUGGAAUUAACACUGGGCCAACAUCAGUUCUGGCGGCAGGAUAAAUCAUUAAGAAUGUAGCUACCUCGGUAGUGUUAUAGCUUUUUGGAAUACUGCC